GACAGAUUCACCGCUGAGGAACCAAGUAGAAUGUGAAGUCUGCCCUGAGGUCACACAAAAAAGAAGGGGCUGCCUGGCCUAGCCCUGAUGGAGGGGGCCAUGGAUAGAACAACGGGGAGGCAGGGGUGUCUCUGAGAUGCUCUGGUCACCUUGUCAUAUAAUGGUGGUGUACAAUGACCAAAAUGGACACCAGGGGGCACCUGGGUACCAUUCCUUAGAAGACUGGGUGUGAUGAGAGCAGGACCAGCGCCACCUGUCCUGCUUGGUGCCCUAUGCUUAGGGCUCACAGAUGUCAACUCUCCACCCCCUGGGACCACACGGCCCCACACCUGCCACUCCCUGACAUCCUCAGGCAGAGGAGCCUGACCCAGGGCCCAGGGUGGGAUCAGAAAGCUGGAGGGUCUGAUUUGCAUGGAUGGACCCUCCUCCUCUCAGAGUAUAAAGAGGGGCAGGGAGAGACUUGGGGAAGCUCUGCUUCAGCUGUGAGCACAGAAGGCAGGACUCGGGACAAUCUUCAUCAUGACCUGCUCCCCUCUCCUCCUCGCCCUUCUCAUUCACUGCACAGGGUCCUGGGCCCAGUCUGUGUUGACGCAGCCGCCCUCAGUGUCUGCGGCCCCAGGACAGAAGGUCACCAUCUCCUGCUCUGGAAGCAGCUCCAACAUUGGGAAUUAUGCAGUAUCCUGGUACCAACAGCUCCCAGGAACAGCCCCCAAACUCCUCAUCUAUGAAAAUAAUAAGCGACCCUCAGGGAUUUCUGACAGAUUCUCUGGCUCCAAGUCUGGCACGUCAGCCACCCUGGGCAUCACUGGACUCCAGACUGGGGAUGAGGCUGAUUAUUACUGCUCAGCAUGGGAUAGCAGCCUGAGUGCUGGCACAAUGCUCCAGGCCAAUGGGGAACUGAGACAAGAACCACCUUCCUCCUCCACCAGGAGGGGUCCUGGGCCCAGUCUGUGCUGACACAGCCACCCUCAGCGUCUGGGACCCCCGGGCAGAGGGUCACCAUCUCUUGUUCUGGAAGCAGCUCCAACAUCGGAAGUAAUUAUGUAUACUGGUACCAGCAGUUCCCAGGAAUGGCCCCCAAACUCCUCAUCUAUGAUAAUAAUCAGCGGCCCUCAGGGGUCCCUGACCGAUUCUCUGGCUCCAAGUCUGGCACCUCAGCCUCCCUGGCCAUCAGUGGGCUCCGGUCCGAGGAUGAGGCUGAUUAUUACUGUGCAGCAUGGGAUAACAGCCUGAGUGGUCCCACAGUGCUCCAGGCCCAUGGGGAAGUGAGACAAGAACCCCCUUCCCCCUCUGCCAGGAGGGUGAGCCCCAGCAGCUUCUGCUCAGGACUGGCCUGUGGCUUCUGCUGCUGUAGCUUCCUUCAUGGGUCCAGGGGCACCCAGGGCCCUGCCUGAGAGUGGAGGCUCCUCCUCCCCUUCAUCCUCAGAGUCAGGAACAGGACAUCCAGGAAACAGAACAUCCUGCUCCCUGCAGCUUAGGACACAGGGUUUCUGCACUGAAGUCCUGGGCUGAGGUGGCAGAUGCAGCUGUGUCGUCACAGACCCACCUCUGAUGGGAAACCUGUGUCUCUGUCAUCCUCCUUUUCCCAUUUCCAGGAGUUUCCAGAGUGGUGUCUUCCUCUGUCUGCUCCUCAGUGUGAAUCCCUGUGCUUCCUUUCUCUCCAGCCUAUUCUUUUUAAAUAAAACUCCUUUCAUGUAGGAAUAAUGCACAUCUAAUAAACCACCCAGAUGUAUAAUAGG
Molecule: non-coding RNA, 1739 nt
Organism: Pongo pygmaeus (Bornean orangutan)
Lineage: Eukaryota; Metazoa; Chordata; Mammalia; Primates; Hominidae
Source: the annotation of a RefSeq genome assembly